AUGAGAGAAUGGCGAAGCAGCUACCAGAGAGUUCUUCAGGAGGAGAGAUGAGUGGAGGAAGCAUCCUAGGUUCAGCAAUUAGCCCAGCCAUGCCUUUCUCGAUUUUGGCCUUGGAGUCCCUUCAUCGACGUCGACCUAAUUGGCAAGUAGAUCUACAGCAAACUCUUUGGUCCUUCCUCCUCCUCCUCUUCUGGGUAUGCUUUUAAUGGUGUGGUCUUUCUUGGGUUUUUCAAGAAAUCUUCAAAAUGGAAAAAUACAAUUAGAAUCCUAUCAUUGGAACCCUAGCUUGGUUUUUGUCAUAGAGACUUGCCAAAUGGAAGUUUAUUUUGGAAGCCACAGCUGGAGGAAUCAUCCAUGGUGAAGUAUUCAAGAGGGCCUAAUCCUACCAACUCCUGCAAAGCCAGGGGAUCAGACCUAUGAGUUCAUUUUAAGGAUUGCUACAUUGACGUCUACUCCCCAGAGUGUCUUUAUGAGUCUUUGAGGAAGAAGCUGGAUAUUUUCAGUUUGCUACAGCAAUAACAUCGAAUGAUAUUGAUGAAAUAUAGAAGUUUCUUGAUGCUGCUAUUGAUGCAAGGUAUUCACUUUUUAGCUUUUAGUAAAUUAGUUAUUCUAGUCCCCUUGAUGACAACCCAAAUAGCAAUGACCUCUUCUUUUUACCCCCAAGUCCAGGUGGUUAGGCCUAGAGCAUUGGAGGAAAAAAAAAAAAAAAGGGAUAUUCCAAACAUGAUGUACUGGAUGAAACAAUUUUAAUUAUGUAAAUAUGUUAAUCCUGCAUUUGGAUGGCAUAAGUGAUGCUAAUUGUGUAGAAGUUCUUUUCACCAAUGAUGAGAACCACAGACGAAUUUAUGUUGUUUGUAUUAGCUUCUCUGAAUUACAUUUAGUCUAGAAUAUUUGUAAUUAAUUUUUCACUGCUAGUUGCAUCUUAGUGUAUAAUUAUUAUUUUUUUCCCACAGACUUUAUCAUUGAUUUAUUGUACUAUUUAUAAUCUUAAUUAAUCGUAGUUUACAGU
Long non-coding RNA from Ziziphus jujuba (common jujube), 1009 nucleotides. RefSeq lists it as uncharacterized. Lineage: Eukaryota; Viridiplantae; Streptophyta; Magnoliopsida; Rosales; Rhamnaceae. The transcript has 5 exons. The record is from RefSeq and is a predicted model, not a curated record.